RNAcentral lists this ribosomal RNA (468 nucleotides) under uncultured bacterium. Its description in RNAcentral is "bacterial SSU rRNA". It matches the Rfam family "Bacterial small subunit ribosomal RNA", at positions 28 to 507 of the family's 1533-position model. The record is from RNAcentral.
GACGAACACUGGCGGCGCGCCUAACACAUGCAAGUCGAACGAGAGAUGAGGAGCUUGCUCUUCAGAUCGAGUGGCGAACGGGUGAGUAACGCGUGAGGAACCUGCCUCAAAGAGGGGGACAACAGUUGGAAACGACUGCUAAUACCGCAUAAGCCCACGGCUCGGCAUCGAGCAGGGGGAAAAGGAGCAAUCCGCUUUGAGAUGGCCUCGCGUCCGAUUAGCUAGUUGGUGAGGUAACGGCCCACCAAGGCGACGAUCGGUAGCCGGACUGAGAGGUUGAACGGCCACAUUGGGACUGAGACACGGCCCAGACUCCUACGGGAGGCAGCAGUGGGGAAUAUUGCACAAUGGGGGAAACCCUGAUGCAGCGACGCCGCGUGAGUGAUGAAGUAUUUCGGUAUGUAAAAACUCUAUCAGCAGGGAAGAUAAUGACGGUACCUGACUAAGAAGCACCGGCUAAAAUACGUG